This 396-nucleotide ribosomal RNA is filed under the name uncultured bacterium. RNAcentral's name for it is "bacterial SSU rRNA". It matches the Rfam family "Bacterial small subunit ribosomal RNA", at positions 30 to 429 of the family's 1533-position model. The record is from RNAcentral.
AUUGAACGCUGGCGGAAUGCUUUACACAUGCAAGUCGAACGGCAGCACGGGGCAACCUGGUGGCGAGUGGCGAACGGGUGAGUAAUAUAUCGGAACGUGCCCAAUCGUGGGGGAUAACGUAGCGAAAGUUACGCUAAUACCGCAUACGAUCUACGGAUGAAAGCGGGGGAUCGCAAGACCUCGCGCGAAUGGAGCGGCCGAUAUCAGAUUAGGUAGUUGGUGGGGUAAAGGCUCACCAAGCCAACGAUCUGUAGCUGGUCUGAGAGGACGACCAGCCACACUGGAACUGAGACACGGUCCAGACUCCUACGGGAGGCAGCAGUGGGGAAUUUUGGACAAUGGGCGCAAGCCUGAUCCAGCCAUUCCGCGUGCAGGAUGAAGGCCUCGGGUUGUAAC